GUCUGCAGCCAUACACCCUGAAUGUUUCUGAUCUUGUCUGAUCUUGGAAGCUAAGCAGGGCCUGACGGUAAGUAUUUGGAUGGAAGACCAAAAACCCAUACAAAGAACAGGUA
This 113-nucleotide ribosomal RNA is filed under the name Vulpes vulpes (red fox). The record is from RNAcentral. Lineage: Eukaryota; Metazoa; Chordata; Mammalia; Carnivora; Canidae.